AAGUCGACGCACAGCGAAAGGUGCUUGCACCUUUCAAGUGAGUGGCGAACGGGUGAGUAACACGUGGACAACCUGCCUCAAGGCUGGGGAUAACAUUUGGAAACAGAUGCUAAUACCGAAUAAAACUUAGUGUCGCAUGACACAAAGUUAAAAGGCGCUUCGGCGUCACCUAGAGAUGGAUCCGCGGUGCAUUAGUUAGUUGGUGGGGUAAAGGCCUACCAAGACAAUGAUGCAUAGCCGAGUUGAGAGACUGAUCGGCCACAUUGGGACUGAGACACGGCCCAAACUCCUACGGGAGGCUGCAGUAGGGAAUCUUCCACAAUGGGCGAAAGCCUGAUGGAGCAACGCCGCGUGUGUGAUGAAGGCUUUCGGGUCGUAAAGCACUGUUGUAUGGGAAGAACAGCUAGAAUAGGAAAUGAUUUUAGUUUGACGGUACCAUACCAGAAAGGGACGGCUAAAUACGUGCCAGCAGCCGCGGUAAUACGUAUGUCCCGAGCGUUAUCCGGAUUUAUUGGGCGUAAAGCGAGCGCAGACGGUUUAUUAAGUCUGAUGUGAAAGCCCGGAGCUCAACUCCGGAAUGGCAUUGGAAACUGGUUAACUUGAGUGCAGUAGAGGUAAGUGGAACUCCAUGUGUAGCGGUGGAAUGCGUAGAUAUAUGGAAGAACACCAGUGGCGAAGGCGGCUUACUGGACUGCAACUGACGUUGAGGCUCGAAAGUGUGGGUAGCAAACAGGAUUAGAUACCCUGGUAGUCCACACCGUAAACGAUGAACACUAGGUGUUAGGAGGUUUCCGCCUCUUAGUGCCGAAGCUAACGCAUUAAGUGUUCCGCCUGGGGAGUACGACCGCAAGGUUGAAACUCAAAGGAAUUGACGGGGACCC
Molecule: ribosomal RNA, 881 nt
Filed under: Leuconostoc mesenteroides subsp. mesenteroides
Lineage: Bacteria; Bacillati; Bacillota; Bacilli; Lactobacillales; Lactobacillaceae
Description: bacterial SSU rRNA
Rfam family: Bacterial small subunit ribosomal RNA
Source: RNAcentral